AAGAGUGAACUAGCUAACUGAAAUCACAUGAGGCAUAAGUGUGUUAAAUGUGAUAAGGUAAGGGGAAAAACUGAUUUAACCUUACUAUUAGUGUUGUCCAAAUCUGGUGCCAGAAGACUCGGUAAGACCAGAAACGCAAACGUUAAUCGUCCUAAUCAGGCGUAAAGGGUUUGUAGGCCGCUUUAACUAUUUCUGUUUAAAAAGCUCUGAAUCUUUAAAAAUUCAGUAAAUAGAAAUACACUAAAAGCUAGAAUCAAAUAGAGGAUAAGCCGAAUAAUACUUAGAGUAGGGAUGAUAUCCAUAGAUACUAAGGGGAAUACUAAAGGUGAAAGCUUUUAUCUACUAUUGAUUGACGCUGAGAAACGAAGGUGAGAAUAGGAAAUAGGAUUAGAUACCCAGAUACCUCUCACUGUCAACGAUGAAUGGUGGUUUGUUAGUUUUAAUAAAAACUGAUAACGAUGUUAACGCGAUAACCAUUCCGCCUUGCGAGUACGGUUGCAAAACUGAAACCAAAAAAAUUAGUCGGUCUCGAAGCAAACGAAGUGAAGCAUGUUAUUUAAUU
RNAcentral lists this ribosomal RNA (562 nucleotides) under Amanita pruittii. RNAcentral describes it as "SSU rRNA". It matches the Rfam family "Bacterial small subunit ribosomal RNA", at positions 379 to 951 of the family's 1533-position model. Lineage: Eukaryota; Fungi; Basidiomycota; Agaricomycetes; Agaricales; Amanitaceae. The record is from RNAcentral.